RNAcentral lists this ribosomal RNA (250 nucleotides) under uncultured prokaryote. Its description in RNAcentral is "partial 16S ribosomal RNA". It matches the Rfam family "Bacterial small subunit ribosomal RNA", at positions 524 to 773 of the family's 1533-position model. The record is from RNAcentral.
UACGUAGGGGGCAAGCGUUACCCGGAUUUACUGGGUGUAUAGGGAGCGUAGACGGGCAAGCAAGUCUGAUGUGAAAUCCCACGGCUCAACCGUGGAACUGCAUUGGAAACUGUUAGUCUUGAGUACCGGAGGGGUGAGCGGAAUUCCUGGUGUAGCGGUGAAAUGCGCAGAUAUCAGGAAGAACACCGGCGGCGAAGGCGGCUCACUGGACGGUAACUGACGUUGAGGCUCGAAAGCGUGGGGGGCAAAC